GGCUUAGAGUUUGAUCAUGGCUCAGGACAAACGCUGGCGGCGCGCCUAACACAUGCAAGUCGAACGGAGUUUGUUGGAUUGAUCCUUCGGGAGAUUGAUAGCAAACUUAGUGGCGGACGGGUGAGUAACACGUGAGCAACCUGCCUUACAGAGGGGGAUAACGUUCUGAAAAGGACGCUAAUACCGCAUAACAUAUUGAGGGGGCAUCCUCUUAAUAUCAAAGGAGCAAUCCGCUGUAAGAUGGGCUCGCGUCCGAUUAGGCAGUUGGCGGGGUAACGGCCCACCAAACCGACGAUCGGUAGCCGGACUGAGAGGUUGAACGGCCACAUUGGGACUGAGACACGGCCCAGACUCCUACGGGAGGCAGCAGUGGGGGAUAUUGCACAAUGGGGGAAACCCUGAUGCAGCGACGCCGCGUGAGGGAAGAAGGUCUUCGGAUUGUAAACCUCUGUCUUCGGUGACGAACAAAGACGGUAGCCGAGGAGGAAGCCACGGCUAACUACGUGCCAGCAGCCGCGGUAAUACGUAGGUGGCAAGUGUUGUCCGGAAUUACUGGGUGUAAAGGGAGCGUAGGCGGGAAGACAAGUCGGGUGUUAAAUCUAUCGGCUCAACUGGUAGCAGCACUCGAAACUGCCUUUCUUGAGUGAAGUAGAGGUAAGCG
This 661-nucleotide ribosomal RNA is filed under the name uncultured organism. RNAcentral describes it as "bacterial SSU rRNA". It matches the Rfam family "Bacterial small subunit ribosomal RNA", at positions 1 to 663 of the family's 1533-position model. The record is from RNAcentral.